RNAcentral lists this ribosomal RNA (460 nucleotides) under uncultured bacterium. Its description in RNAcentral is "partial 16S ribosomal RNA". It matches the Rfam family "Bacterial small subunit ribosomal RNA", at positions 338 to 795 of the family's 1533-position model. The record is from RNAcentral.
CCUACGGGAGGCAGCAGUGAGGAAUAUUGGUCAAUGGACGAGAGUCUGAACCAGCCAAGUAGCGUGAAGGAUGACUGCCCUAUGGGUUGUAAACUUCUUUUAUAUGGGAAUAAAAUGUUCCACGUGUGGGAUUUUGUAUGUACCAUAUGAAUAAGGAUCGGCUAAAUCCGUGCCAGCAGCCGCGGUAAUACGGAGGAUCCGAGCGUUAUCCGGAUUUAUUGGGUUUAAAGGGAGCGUAGGUGGAUUGUUAAGUCAGUUGUGAAAGUUUGCGGCUCAACCGUAAAAUUGCAGUUGAAACUGGCAGUCUUGAGUACAGUAGAGGUGGGCGGAAUGCGUGGUGUAGCGGUGAAAUGCUUAGAUAUCACGAAGAACUCCGAUUGCGAAGGCAGUUCACUAGACUGCAACUGACACUGAGGCUCGAAAGUGUGGGUAUCAAACAGGAUUAGAUACCCCUGUAGUC